Molecule: long non-coding RNA, 1111 nt
Filed under: Cyanoderma ruficeps (rufous-capped babbler)
Lineage: Eukaryota; Metazoa; Chordata; Aves; Passeriformes; Timaliidae
Description: lncRNA (ENSCRFG00000004485.1)
Source: RNAcentral
UUGAGUUGUCAUUGACUCCUACGGGACACACGACUUUUUUUGUUUGUUUGUUUGUUUUCAAGAGCAAUUUACUACAUUAUAGGAUUCGUUUUUUUCUUAAAGUACUUAACUUGGUUAAAAAUUAACUUUCAGUUGUUUUUAAUUUCUGUGUUAGAAGUUUCUGUCCCUUAGCCAAAUGAUAGUUCAUUUUUUAGGAAGGUGAAUAUUGGACAGUCAAACUUUUCUCUGAGGGCUGUUGCUUCCCCUGUCUGACUUUAUGUGCCACCUUGCAAUGCAUGGCCAGUAAGGCAAACUGCUUUUGUAGAAGAUAUUUAAAGUAGUUGAUGAAGAGCAAAAGUACUAGCUGCCUUUAAAAUUUAAGUUUUAACACAAUCUUCCCACCUCAGCUGAUAUUUUUAAUUUAUAAAGGACUAUAUAGGACAGAAUCCAAGCCAUGUUUUUGGGUGAAUGAUACAUCUAUGUGCAUGUUUGUCUGUGACCACUUGUCUAACAUGAUGAGGAUCUUCAUGAAUAGAUAUAAAUGACACAUGCCUUCUCUUUCCAGGAAUCAGUAGCAGAGGAUGUGCCUGGCAUUAUUACCAGGAGAUUAGCAAAUCCAGCUCUGACAGAAUGGGAAAGAGGUUCCCAAUCUGAACACUCAGAUUGGAUUGCGUUGCAGUUGUAAAAUUAACAUCAGCAGGGCUCAUCCAAGAAAAGAGCAGGGCUGCUGGUCGGAAUGAGUCCAAAUUAACUAUGACAGAAGAACUCUUCCCUCUUUCAGUGGAAGAAAAGUUUGAAAACCAGCACAUGAGAUAUCCUGAGUAGAUGUAUCAUUUGCUUCCUGUAAACCUGGCAGCCAGAGAGCUCUUCCUCAUCCCAGUGGUGCCAGGCACUGGAAAGUGGUCACUCAGUGUUGGUCCUCAGUGGUGGAUGCCAAUGAAAGUAAGAAAAAAUGUGUCAGUCAGAGUUGGAGUUAGAGGUCAUGCAACUGGGUGAAGAAAUGAAGACAAGUGACCUCUUGGUGAAUUUCAAUAAAAGGUUAGAGAUCACUUAGCUUGUUUUUUCUACAUUGUUGUAACUUUUCCAUGUCAAGAUCACUUUUAAAUGAAGAAAUGGUGUUUUUUGCCUCUGU